Molecule: ribosomal RNA, 120 nt
Filed under: Glarea lozoyensis ATCC 20868
Lineage: Eukaryota; Fungi; Ascomycota; Leotiomycetes; Helotiales; Helotiaceae
Source: RNAcentral
ACAUACGACCAUAGACUGAGGAGAAUUAGGCAUCCCGUCCGCUCUGCCAAAUACAAGCCUCAGAUCGGUAGAUUAGUAGUUGGGUGGGUGACCACCAGCGAAUACCUACUGUUGUAUGUU